UACGUAGGAUGCAAGCGUUGUCCGGAUUCAUUGGGCGUACAGAGUUCGUAGGCGGUUUGUUAAGUCUGAUGUUAAAGAUCGGGGCCCAACCCUGAGAGUGCAUUGGAUACUGGCAGACUGGAGUGCAGUAGAGGCAAGUGGAAUUCCCAGUGUAGCGGUGAAAUGCGUAGAUAUUGGGAAGAACACCGGUGGCGCAGGCGACUUGCUGGGCUGUAACUGACGCUGAGGAACGAAAGCGAGGGGAGCAAAUGGG
RNAcentral lists this ribosomal RNA (253 nucleotides) under uncultured bacterium. RNAcentral describes it as "partial 16S ribosomal RNA". It matches the Rfam family "Bacterial small subunit ribosomal RNA", at positions 524 to 776 of the family's 1533-position model. The record is from RNAcentral.